Lycium barbarum (goji berry) is the source of this 3127-nucleotide long non-coding RNA. RefSeq lists it as uncharacterized. The record is from RefSeq and is a predicted model, not a curated record. The transcript has 2 exons. Lineage: Eukaryota; Viridiplantae; Streptophyta; Magnoliopsida; Solanales; Solanaceae.
AAUCAGCAGCCCCAACGUUCACCUCCACCCCCCGUCACGUCACUUACAUCGCUUCACCGCCACCGCACCCGUCGGACCACCGGACAAACUCCUGCGCCGACAUCACCCAUCUCCUAUCGCCUAUCACCUAUCGCCUUUUCCCUUUUCGAAGACGUUUCCAAAAGCUGUAAAGGGAGAGAUUCUUAAAUCCUUCGGUCUGGGAGAUAAUCGUCCUUCAAUUCGAUGAACAAUGGCAAGAACCACCAUACUCUACACCCCAACGACUCUUUCCCUUCCUAAUCAGUCUGAAAAGCUAAGCAAGGGUUGCUUGAAGCGGAUUCGGAGACUCGACGACGACAUUAGCCUCAGUUCGCUGUCCCGGAGAAGGUAAUCACACUCGUCCUCUCUUCGUCUUUCAUUUUAUAAGAAGUAGAAAUGUAGUCGUUCAAGUAUUUCUCGUCGUUUACUUGGUUUGGUUGGCUGGAAUGUGUUCUCUCCUCGUUUUGUUGUAAAUUAGUGUAAAGCGACUAAUUUCGUCGAAUAUGUGUUUAACCUCGUCGUUUGGCUAACUCCAUGUUUCAAUCAUUUUUUUUAGUCUGUGACGUUCCUAUUUCUAACAUAAAUCAGUGAAAAAAUGACCUAUAGAAACCAUGAAUUUAACAAGGGAAACUACUGAUUUGUGAGAGUGUAAUAUGAGCUUCUAUGCAGAUUUGGUAUUCCCUUGUUGUUAUCUUCUCGUAUGAUCAAGUAAAUAUUUUAAAAAAAAAAACAGUUGUACUUCUUUUCCCACAGAGAUUUGCAAUGUUAUCAUGGUUAAGGUGAUGGGAUAAUUCGUGUUAAGUAUAUUUUGAGUUGGAAUCUAGACAUAUAUGAAAACUUCUCCUCGUUUCAUUCUCGGUUUACAGAAUUAACAUGUAGACGUUUGAUUAUCUGGGCUGGUUCCUUUUUUGAGUUCUGUACAUUUUUUGGGUCUGUUUUUGUUUUAAAAAAAAAAUAGUAGAUGAGCCAUUCUGAACGUCAGCAUGUAAAAGGCUAAUACAAACUAAGGGCGUUUAGGAAGGAAACCACUGACUUAUAUAAAUUUGUAUUAGUUGAAACUUCUAGUUGUUGAAGUAACUUUAUCGCUUUUGUAUAUCUUAUUUCUUCAAACACUCUUAAGGACUGUUAUGCCGUGACUCUGUGUAGAAGCCAAUAUGUGAAUAUAUUGUGAUAUCAUAUAAUUGAAAAGAGAGGUUAUCACUUGAUUAAAGGAAAAAGUUACUAUUUUGAUUAGAGAAAAAGUUACUAUUUAAAAAGCUACUAUUCUGAUCAUGUUACUGGUUUUGACAUAAAAAAGAAAAAAGAAAAACAGUUACUGUUUAAAAGAGAGGCAGAAGAAGGGGGUAAACGAAGCUAACAACACCUAUGAGAGUAUUGUUUCCACAUAUCGAAUGAGAAAUAAUUUUGUCGUUAAGGGACUGUUCUGUUUUUCGCUAAAGGGUGUUUUGAUAAUUACCAUAACCUUUACAUUAGUAUGGACUCCUUUAUUGUAGAACUUGUAUGCUGAUUCGUGGAAGUCCAACGAUGCUAAAUUAUGGUUCUUUGUAUUUUCCACCGUUUAUUGAGUUCAUACCCAGGCUCCAUCAUUUUUUAGAGCAUAGAGUAUUAGGAGUCAUGUCGAUAGGACUCCGGGAACCUUUGUCAGAGCAUAAGUUUGCUGUGGUUCGGAAGUGAAAAUGUCUCUCUUAACUUGUUUGUAGAGGUUCACUCCUAAUCUAUUUUGGGCUGAAAUAUGAGUUUACAUAAGGCUUCUCUUCUUAAAUUAAGAACUAAUUCAUUACUAACCUGGUUAGUCAUAAAACACCAUAGGAGUUCCUUUCUUAAGUUUGUUGUAAGCAUGACAUUUAGUUAACUAAUUAAGUAGCAAAAAAGGGUAUGCCACUGGUCAAUUUCUUAAAUUUGAGAGGUUUAAGAGUUAAAUAGGCAUGACACUAAGGUCAAGAGAUCCAACUGGAAACAUGAAAAAUUCACAGCUUUAUUUCAUUUGCCAAAGGACUUAAAUCAGUUAAAAUUGUUAAGUUCAUCUGAUGUUCUUAAGUUUCUUUCCUUAACGCUCGAGAGAUUCAUACGAGAGAUAUCCCGUACCAUAGUUUGUUUGUAUUUUAUUAUCUCGACUCAUAAAGUUUGAGGCUUCAUAACACCAGGAAGCCGAGCAGCCAUGGCUGCUGUACUAGUUUCAUAGGUAUGAUGUACAUGAUAUAAGGUUUCUUGUCUUGUCAAAAAGUUGCAAAGAUUUUCUUAAGUGUGGUUUGAAGUUUGUUGGAAGUUUUGAAUACUCUUUGCCGGCUAGAGAUUGAACUAUUGAUCUGAAAUAAAUUUGAGUGAAAAGUGACCUGUUUUGCUUACUUGAAUAUUUGUCUGGUAGUGACCUUCUCUUUCUCCUACGAUUACUACCAUGGUUAAAGUCUCUAUGUAAAUGAUGGCUUCUUCCUAAACCUGAAUUAUGCUUGUUUAAUACAUAUGUAUGAAACCCCUGGGUAGAUGUUUAAAACCAUUUAAGUUACGUUAAGAAUUGAUUAGUCAUGCUAGAUUAUUGGCACUAGUUUGUUGUAUGCUUUUCUUUACUAAAAAUCUUGAAAAUAGGUGAUUUGGGAUUGACUGUUGUAUGAAUAGCAGACAUCCUCUUGAAGAGGCUCGAUGGACCCUUAAAAUGUUUGAAAGUCUGUCUGAUAACUCAGUUGUAGGAAUUAGUUAAACCGGUCUAUCUCAUUGAAAGUUCCCUACGCCCAGAUUAUUAUUUGGUCUUGUUUGUUUUACUCCAUUUUUUGGGAUAAAAACUGCUCUAAUCCUUUUCUUUCUCUCCUUCUUUUUCUGCAUGAAACACUUGGGAGCAUUUGGAGUUAUGGCAACUCUGGAUUUUGCCCAGAAUUAGAAGAAAUCAGUAGCAGCUGCGCUUAUGCUCAUGUCCCGCAGUCCUAUCUCCUUCUGUCUCGAGUCUAUGUCCUUCCUCCUCUCUUCACACAUUUGUAUCUUAUAUAUUUAUUUACGUUACAUGUUAUUUACACCCUCCGACUAACGUUCUUUUAUGGAUUUGUGUUUUGUAGUGUACUUGUUCCGGGUAUGAACUCGUUAAAGUAAUUAAGUAGAAUACUAUGUUCAAUUGUUUGUC